This 66-nucleotide transfer RNA is filed under the name Gastroptychus rogeri. Its description in RNAcentral is "tRNA-Asp". The record is from RNAcentral. Lineage: Eukaryota; Metazoa; Arthropoda; Malacostraca; Decapoda; Chirostylidae.
UAAAGGUUAGUUAAACUAUAAUAUAAGCUUGUCAUGCUUAAUUUAUCUAUCCCUAGAUACCUUUAA